RNAcentral lists this non-coding RNA (83 nucleotides) under marine eukaryotic metagenome. RNAcentral's name for it is "Purine riboswitch". The stretch from base 15 to 83 matches the Rfam family "Purine riboswitch aptamer", at positions 19 to 87 of the family's 102-position model. From Rfam's summary of the family: Riboswitches are metabolite binding domains within certain messenger RNAs that serve as precision sensors for their corresponding targets. Allosteric rearrangement of mRNA structure is mediated by ligand binding, and this results in modulation of gene expression. The record is from RNAcentral.
UACAAGUAGGUUAGUAUCAUAUAAGGCUAAUAAUACGGUUUAGCUGUCUCUACCCUUUCGCCGUAAAUGAAAGGACUAUGAUA